Arachis ipaensis is the source of this 803-nucleotide long non-coding RNA. RefSeq lists it as uncharacterized. The record is from RefSeq and is a predicted model, not a curated record. NCBI's taxonomy places the organism in Eukaryota, Viridiplantae, Streptophyta, Magnoliopsida, Fabales, Fabaceae.
CUAACCAUGAAUCCACAGUAAUUAUGGUCCAGUUAACCUUUUAAAAUCACUGAUUAGAAAACUAGUGGUGAGCCGGUUUACUGUCCAAUUGGACUGGAUUGGGAACCGAUCAGUUUGAAGAAAAUGGCGUCGUUUUGAUUCCUGAAUGUCAUUACUCGAAUCUGUAUCACUUCACUACUCACUCCUCCCACUCAAGCCAAGAAGAAACACGGACGCCCCCUUAUCCAACUCUAGCCUCUCUUCAAGCCACUGUUGCCGUCUGUCUGUCAAGCUACUGCCGUCAUCCGUCCUUCGAGCUAUUGCCCCUAUGUCUCCAAAGUCCAACCCAUACUCUCUUCUUCUGCGAGCUCAGCCCAUCCGUCGUCAUCGGCUGCUCGUCGUCUGGUCGGCAUCAUCCUUCACGGUCAAUAGUCUGUCGGCGUCGUCUUCGAAGAUGCAGGUCAAGAGGCACCUCAUUAGGUGUCUGGACUUCUGAAGCGAAGUGGUUAUCGGGUUAUUUUGUUGUACGGUUAUGUAUAUAUACGUACUUAGUUUUCUUUCCGCAUGACUUGAUCCUUUUGACCCUUUUAGAGGCUUAUGGAGAGACAGGAUUUUAUUUAUGUAAAUUUGGGUUUUGGAUAUGUAUAUAUAUGUGUACUUAUUCUCCGGCCAGCCUUGACUUCGCGAGCUAAGUUAGGAGCUUGUUAUUUUGUACCUUUGGCCCUCUAUUCUUACUUUUGUUACCUUAUAGCUGAUAGCUAUAGUUUUCUUAGUAGCAAGUUAACUCGUUUUCUGAGCAUUGCAUUUUUAUUUCGCGAUUUUUA